Long non-coding RNA from Thamnophis elegans (Western terrestrial garter snake), 524 nucleotides. RefSeq lists it as uncharacterized. The record is from RefSeq and is a predicted model, not a curated record. NCBI's taxonomy places the organism in Eukaryota, Metazoa, Chordata, Lepidosauria, Squamata, Natricidae. The transcript has 3 exons.
AAGCAGAGUUGAAAUCGUCUCUGAAACGGCUGGAAAAGAGAGAAGCCUACCUAGCAAAAAUAUUCUUGGUGAUCACAGAAUGAUAAAUUACUACUGAAGAAAAGUGGAUGGAAGAAAGGUUGGGAUGGCAACCUGUUUGCUUUGCUAUCAGUGGUGGAGCUGCUGGUGAAAGAAUGUGCACUGCAUCUCAGGGAGCUGCUACCCAGGGCCAUGAUCCUUCAGUAGGACAACAGUUGUCUGGUUAGAAGAAUUUUUCUUUCCACUAUCUUCUCUGAAAAAGAGAGGGAAAUAUCUGCUUCCAUGUCAUCAUCCCAUCAACUCUGUCAUGCUGGUCCCCAAGCCUGGAUGAGAUAGGAAGAAGGUAGGCAUCAGACUUUGCGACAAGUUGGCUAAGAUUUCAAUGUUGCAUCAUUAUACAUUGAACCCCAAACAAGGCUUGAGAGACUGACAUGCAAGAUGCUGCAGACCAGAUGAUGUGGCAGGUGAAAUGCAAAAUUGCAGACACCACGAUAUGGCGGGAAGAA